Molecule: unclassified non-coding RNA, 352 nt
Filed under: soil metagenome
Description: partial contains 5.8S ribosomal RNA, internal transcribed spacer 2, and large subunit ribosomal RNA
Rfam family: 5.8S ribosomal RNA (bases 1-120)
Source: RNAcentral
GAUGAAGAACGCAGCGAAAUGCGAUAAGUAAUGUGAAUUGCAGAAUUCAGUGAAUCAUCGAAUCUUUGAACGCACAUUGCGCCCGCCAGUAUUCUGGCGGGCAUGCCUGUUCGAGCGUCAUUACAACCCUCAGGCCCCCGGGCCUGGCGUUGGGGAUCGGCGGAGCCCCCCGUGGGCACACGCCGUCCCCCAAAUGCAGUGGCGGUCCCGCCGCAGCUUCCAUCGCGUAGUAGCUAACACCUCGCGACUGGAGAGCGGCGCGGCCACGCCGUAAAACACCCAACUCUUCUGAAGUUGACCUCGAAUCAGGUAGGAAUACCCGCUGAACUUAAGCAUAUUAAUAAGCGGAGGA